UGUCCAGUAACUUCUAUUCCUACCUCCCAGUGGUGCCGCCUGGGGUACGAGUAACCGUAGGGAAGAUCGGGUAACCAAUCUCGGUGGGAACUUGAUCGUAUGCUGACAGGGAAGA
Non-coding RNA from Aedes aegypti (yellow fever mosquito), 115 nucleotides. The record is from Rfam. Lineage: Eukaryota; Metazoa; Arthropoda; Insecta; Diptera; Culicidae.